This 795-nucleotide long non-coding RNA is filed under the name Sorghum bicolor (sorghum). Its description in RNAcentral is "long non-coding RNA (SBIC_LNC009614)". The record is from RNAcentral. Lineage: Eukaryota; Viridiplantae; Streptophyta; Magnoliopsida; Poales; Poaceae.
UUUUCCCAUCCACAAGUGUGUGAAACUUUUGACCACUGAUUUGGCCUGGUGGACAGUGUCAUUGGUCCCCUUUGCUCUCUGACUAUAGUGGUAACACUGUUCCUACAAAUUAAAAACACACACAAGGGAUGUAUGCAGAUUAUCAGCUCAUGACGGUAGACAAUUUGGAAUUUGUAAGUUCUGGAUCCCUGAACUUGAUUCCAUAAUUGUUUCUUUUACAUAAAUAAAUUGAUAAGAUGUGAACCUUUUGGCUAGCUAGUUCUGAAGGUACAGUUAUAAUGACAUUAGGUGUGCUGAGCCUCUUCCUUAAAAAAGAGAGAGAGGAAAUGCUAGUAUUAUGAUUUUUGUUCCCUUUCAACAAAUUUCUACGUUGAUCCCUCCAUGUGUUGCCUUGAUCCUAAUCUUUGUAUGUACUGCUACUUACUAUUUCCAUUAAAUAUACCUGGACAUCUCGAGGACUACUUAUAUUUAAAUAUAAACAGGAAAACAUGUACUAGCAAAAGCACCAGAGAAUAUUACCAGAACCAUCUCACCAGUGUUCCCUGGCAGGACAAGCUGGUAGGCCCACCUAGCAGGACAGGCUGUUUCCUUGUGAGAUCUGAUGACAGCACUCUCCAAAAUCCAAAUGCUUAUCCCCUCCCACUCCCAGCCCGGUCUCUCUCUAGAACUUGAGAGGAUCUUUUGUAGUAUUCUUUCUGCAUGAAACUGCUUAUGAAUGCAGGAAAAUGACAUGGUCACCAUUCAGUACUCUGAAGACACUGCACUUGGUGGGCCCCACAGCUGAGCUACACCCAG